This is a long non-coding RNA of Micropterus salmoides (largemouth bass), 1150 nucleotides long. RefSeq lists it as uncharacterized. The record is from RefSeq and is a predicted model, not a curated record. The transcript is spliced from 6 exons. Lineage: Eukaryota; Metazoa; Chordata; Actinopteri; Centrarchiformes; Centrarchidae.
ACGCCCUAAAAAACAUAUAUAGGCCAAACUUAAAGCAGGGCAGAUGAAAAAACUAAAACAUAUAUACAUAACAAAUGUUGAUGUUAUAAAAUCUCUCACUGCAGACAUCAUUAUUACAGAAUACUGUGAUGUUUUUCAGGUGUGUUUGAGUGUGUGUCUGACCUGUUCCAGGUAGCCCAACGUUGGAAGGGAGGUGAGGGGAACAGGCUCACAAAGAGGAGGAACUUUUGUGGGCAGCUUCUGGCCACAAUCACGUAAGAUGUUCAGCUGUGCUUCACGCUGGUUGCAGCGCUCACGCCAGUUCUCCAGUAUGGUGCAACAACCAUAUCCAGGAUCUCUGGAGUAAGUGGAUCUCCAUCAGACAGGUAGGCUUUGAUGGCUUUUUCCUCAUCAGUCAGUAUCACUUCCUGCUGUAGAAACACAAAAGCAAAUUAAACCACAGUUUGAGGAUCAGUAAUACGGAAAAUCUCGCUACAGAGACAGUGUUAAGCUAACCUCCAUGUCAUUCAUGUUGGCAGAAGUAUCCUCCGUCUCCUUCUCCUCCUCCCGCCUGGCUUCCUUUAUCAGGGCCUCCAAGUCCUCAGGAGACUCCUCUGAAGAGUCUACCUCAUCAGCAUAAGCUGGUACCUUGAGAGGCUCAGUCUGUGCAACAAAGUGUGCAGGGUUUUGAAGGAAGGAGUCCCUGGCUUCUAGGCUAGAGAAGUAGAAGGUCUUCUCGCGGUACUUGGCUGCAAUUUCGUCCAAACAGGGCCACAGGAUGUUGUGUUUUUUUAACGCCACAGGGCAGAAAUGAUAGGUAUCACCUAAUAAUCUCUUUGCUGUUGUGUCACCCUGCUUUCAUUGAAAGGAAGGAGACGCUGUUAAAGCUCAGCUAAGGCCUCGAAAUCCUCUACCUCCUCUUCGAGGUCCACCACUGACAGCUCCCAGGACACAUGCUGAAAGGGUUCUGAAGAUUACGCAUGUACACCAGAUUGGAUUAUCGUUCGUCCUGCAACCUCUUCUUCACUGCGUCAUCCACGCUGUCCUUGUUCAUCUCAUACAAUCUCUUCAAAACUGUUUAACACAUUGAUGUGCACUGAUACAUGAACACUGAGAGAAAUCGAAUAUUGACUCAAGUCUAUAUACUUAAAUAAAACGAACUUGUUUGUGA